UUUUUUUUUUUAGGUCAUUUUUCUGUAUUCUUUUUUAAUUUUCUGCCCAUUAUUCUCUAUUCUUUAUAUUUUAGCACACCUUUUAUUUUCUAUUCUUUAUUUUUUGGCCUUAUUUGUUUGUAUUCCUUAUUUAUUUUGCCAUUUAUUCCGCACAUUUUCCCCAUUAUUCUCUACUCUGCUAACCCAAUCCGGACCCUCCUGAAAGUGUCAAAUUGGUUUUGAAGGAGAUUUGUUAUCAACGAACUCACCUGAAACAAACGUAAUCGCAUUUCCUUAAGAGAAAUUAUAUUUUGACAAAUAUAAAACAGAAAGCAGAUACCUUAACACGGAAAUUACCAUUUUCCAGUUGAUCCAAAGCCAGUUGAUAUUCCGAUGUCUUUGGUAUUUAAUGGAUUUGAAGUAUCAGUCCAUUGCAUAAUUUUCUUUCUGCGUCCGUCCUCAUCUCGGAUUUUUCCUUUAUUCCUUUUUAACCUUAAAUACUUGUGAUUUAUUAUGACGAAUCAUUUUUCCUUAAUGUUUCGCCAAGCUUCGGCCUGGCCUUUUGUCACGGAUUACUGACUUUGAGUUACCUCAACCACCUAAUACUAACUCAUACAAAGGCUUCUUCUCAUUAUUGGUAGACAUCAAAGCGAUAUGGGCAUCAUUACUAGCCAUUACUUUGAACUUGAUACUAAUUCUUUCAGGAUUAUCUACAGUGAUGCCAUAAUCUGAGAGUUGUUUGUAUCUAUACGUAUUUGGCGUU
RNAcentral lists this long non-coding RNA (742 nucleotides) under Mytilus galloprovincialis (Mediterranean mussel). The record is from RNAcentral. Lineage: Eukaryota; Metazoa; Mollusca; Bivalvia; Mytilida; Mytilidae.